Molecule: non-coding RNA, 73 nt
Organism: Stegodyphus dumicola
Lineage: Eukaryota; Metazoa; Arthropoda; Arachnida; Araneae; Eresidae
Source: the annotation of a RefSeq genome assembly
GCCUUCGUAGUGUAGUGGUCAGCACGCUGGACGCUUAUUCCUGAGGUCCUUGGUUCGAAUCCCGGCCAGGGCA